GUAAAGAUUCUAGUUAGAAUUUUAUACUUGAUCCUAAUUUGUUCUAGGAUCUUUUAGAACAAAUGUACCUCCCACUAUUUUCUCGAAUUCCUCACACUCCCCUGGUAGGAAAUUGGAAAUCCUACAUGACUAGGGUUUCUAGUGGGUACUGCGGUCCCACCGAUUUACAUGCCACCUCACCUAACAGUUAUUGGGUCUUAGUUAAGUCAGACCCACCGUAUAACCGUAGAAAUAAAGUCGUCAUUGGAUCCUCACCUAACAGUUAUUGGUGCCCAA
Molecule: long non-coding RNA, 276 nt
Filed under: Phoenix dactylifera (date palm)
Lineage: Eukaryota; Viridiplantae; Streptophyta; Magnoliopsida; Arecales; Arecaceae
Description: long non-coding RNA (PDAC_LNC010151)
Source: RNAcentral